This 392-nucleotide ribosomal RNA is filed under the name uncultured bacterium. Its description in RNAcentral is "bacterial SSU rRNA". It matches the Rfam family "Bacterial small subunit ribosomal RNA", at positions 775 to 1178 of the family's 1533-position model. The record is from RNAcentral.
GGAUUAGAAACCCGGGUAGUCCACGCAGUAAACGAUGUGCACUAGGUGUGGGGGUGUAGACCCCUCCGUGCCGGCGCUAACGCAGUAAGUGCACCGCCUGGGGAGGUACGGCCGCAAGGCUAAAACUCAAAGGAAUUGACGGGGGCCCGGCACAAGCAGCGGAGCGUGUGGUUUAAUUCGACGCAACGCGCAAAACCUUACCAGGGCUUGACGUCCUUGGAAUCUUGCUGAAAAGGCAGGAGUGCCCUUCGGGGAGCCAGGAGACAGGUGUUGCAUGGCUGUCGUCAGCUCGUGUCGUGAGAUGUUGGGUUAAGUCCCGCAACGAGCGCAACCCUUGUGGCUAGUUACGUGGAUGUCUAGCCAGACUGCCAGACUGCUGGAGGAAGGCGGGG